GUGAGUGGAUGAAAGCUCCGGCGGCAUAGGAUGGGCCUGCGGCGUAUCAGGUUGUAGGGGGUGUAACGUACCCUCUAGCCCUCUACGCGUACGGGUGUUGGGAGACAUAGCCCGGAGAUGGAUUCUGAGACACGAAUCCAGACCCUACGGGGUGCAGCAGGCGCGAAAACUUGGCAAUGCGAGAAAUCGUGACCAGGGAACUCCAAGUGCAUCGGGUAAGACCGGUGCUUUUCUUGACUCUAAAUAGGUCUUGGAAUAAGGGGUGGGUAAGGACGGUGCCAGCCGCCGCGGUAAUACCGGCGCCUCAAGUGGUAGUCGCUUUUAUUGGGCCUAAAACGUCCGUAGCCGGUCUGAUACAUUCGUGGGUAAAUCAACCAGCUUAACUGGUUGAAUUCUGCGAGGACGGUCAGACUUGGGACCGGGAGAGGUGUGGGGUACGCUCAGGGUAGGGGUAAAAUCCUGUCAUCCUGAGCGGACCACCUGUUGCGAAGGCGCCACACUAGAACGGAUCCGACGGUCAGGGACGAAGCCUAGGGGCACGAACCGGAUUAGAUACCCGGGUAGUCCUAGGUGUAAACGCUGUGGACUUGAUGUUGGGGGUGCUCCGAGCACUCUCAGUGUCGAAGCGAAGGUGAUAAGUCCACUGCCUGGGAAGUACGGUCGCAAGGCUGAAACUUAAAGGAAUUGGCGGGGGAGCACCGCAACCUGAGGAUUGUGCGGUUUAAUUGGACUCAACGCCGGGA
Molecule: ribosomal RNA, 743 nt
Filed under: uncultured Candidatus Poseidoniales archaeon
Lineage: Archaea; Methanobacteriati; Thermoplasmatota; Candidatus Poseidoniia; Candidatus Poseidoniales
Description: bacterial SSU rRNA
Rfam family: Archaeal small subunit ribosomal RNA
Source: RNAcentral